AGAGUUUGAUCAUGGCUCAGAUUGAACGCUGGCGGAAUGCUUUACACAUGCAAGUCGAACGGCAGCACGGACUUCGGUCUGGUGGCGAGUGGCGAACGGGUGAGUAAUAUAUCGGAACGUAUCCAAUAAUGGGGGAUAACUAAUCGAAAGGUUGGCUAAUACCGCAUACGCCCUACGGGGGAAAGCAGGGGAUCUUCGGACCUUGCGUUAAUGGAGCGGCUGAUAUCUGAUUAGCUAGUAGGUGGGGUAAAGGCCCACCUAGGCGACGAUCUGUAGCUGGUCUGAGAGGACGACCAGCCACACUGGAACUGAGACACGGUCCAGACUCCUACGGGAGGCAGCAGUGGGGAAUUUUGGACAAUGGGCGAAAGCCUGAUCCAGCCAUUCCGCGUGAGUGAAGAAGGCCUUCGGGUUGUAAAGCUCUUUCGCGAGGGAAGAAAACUUACCAUCGAAUAAAUGGUGAGGCUGACGGUACCUUGAUAAGAAGCACCGGCUAACUACGUGCCAGCAGCCGCGGUAAUACGUAGGGUGCGAGCGUUAAUCGGAAUUACUGGGCGUAAAGCGUGCGCAGGCGGUUUUGUAAGUCAGAUGUGAAAUCCCCGAGCUCAACUUGGGAACUGCGUUUGAAACUACAAGACUAGAAUAUGUCAGAGGGGGGUAGAAUUCCACGUGUAGUAGUGAAAUGCGUAGAGAUGUGGAGGAACACCAAUGGCGAAGGCAGCCCCCUGGGAUAAUAUUGACGCUCAUGCACGAAAGCGUGGGGAGCAAACAGGAUUAGAUACCCUGGUAGUCCACGCCCUAAACGAUGUCUACUAGUUGUUGGUGGAGUAAAAUCCAUGAGUAACGCAGCUAACGCGUGAAGUAGACCGCCUGGGGAGUACGGUCGCAAGAUUAAAACUCAAAUGAAUUGACGGGGGCCCGCACAAGCGGUGGAUUAUGUGGAUUAAUUCGAUGCAACGCGAAAAACCUUACCUGGCCUUGACAUGUACCGAAUUUACCAGAGAUGGUUUAGUGCUCGAAAGAGAACGGUAACACAGGUGCUGCAUGGCUGUCGUCAGCUCGUGUCGGAGAG
RNAcentral lists this ribosomal RNA (1072 nucleotides) under uncultured bacterium. RNAcentral's name for it is "bacterial SSU rRNA". It matches the Rfam family "Bacterial small subunit ribosomal RNA", at positions 8 to 1071 of the family's 1533-position model. The record is from RNAcentral.